AAAUUCAUUAAACAGAAAAGAUCAGAAAUAUUACACAGCAAAAAUAGCCUCCAAUCGAAUGCAGUCUCUCUACAUAAGAAAUUGCUGUUUACUUUCGAAACAGAAACAUCAUCAAAAACAACCAGGAGUACAAGUGCAACGACAAGUACUGGCAACAAGCUCUCACAGUGCGAUGAAAUAUGAUUUUGUAAUGCAGGUCCAUGUUCAAUGAAAGUGCCACAAAACCAAAUAGAACGGCCAACAGGCUAACAUAUUUCAAUGCUCGAAGGUUUGAUAUCCGUUGGGGCUAUUCCCGGGUUAUUUUUUUAAAGCAGAGCAUUUCUAUGGCCCAAUAGACCCUGCUAAUGGGUAGCGGAUAGCCACUGACCAAAACGAAAGCGAAUAUUCCAACAACUGCUGAAAUUGAAAAGAAAUGAAAGUGUGAACUGCAAGCCAAAUACAUUUUUCCCCUCCCCCAUACGAGUACGUGUACAUAUAUCCUACAGAACAAAGUCCAAUAAGCGGAUUGGUAGG
Molecule: long non-coding RNA, 513 nt
Filed under: Drosophila guanche
Lineage: Eukaryota; Metazoa; Arthropoda; Insecta; Diptera; Drosophilidae
Source: RNAcentral